ACUCCUGCGGGAGGCAGCAGUGGGGAAUAUUGCACAAUGGGCGCAAGCCUGAUGCAGCCAUGCCGCGUGUAUGAAGAAGGCCUUCGGGUUGUAAAGUACUUUCAGCGGGGAGGAAGGCGAUAAGGUUAAUAACCUUGUUGAUUGACGUUACCCGCAGAAGAAGCACCGGCUAACUCCGUGCCAGCAGCCGCGGUAAUACGGAGGGUGCAAGCGUUAAUCGGAAUUACUGGGCGUAAAGCGCACGCAGGCGGUCUGUCAAGUCGGAUGUGAAAUCCCCGGGCUCAACCUGGGAACUGCAUUCGAAACUGGCAGGCUAGAGUCUUGUAGAGGGGGGUAGAAUUCCAGGUGUAGCGGUGAAAUGCGUAGAGAUCUGGAGGAAUACCGGUGGCGAAGGCGGCCCCCUGGACAAAGACUGACGCUCAGGUGCGAAAGCGUGGGGAGCAAACAGGAUUAGAAACCCCAGUAGUCCCAUGA
RNAcentral lists this ribosomal RNA (474 nucleotides) under uncultured organism. RNAcentral's name for it is "partial 16S ribosomal RNA". It matches the Rfam family "Bacterial small subunit ribosomal RNA", at positions 335 to 800 of the family's 1533-position model. The record is from RNAcentral.